GAUGAACGCUGGCGGCGUGCCUAAUACAUGCAAGUCGAGCGAAUGGAUUGAGAGCUUGCUCUCAAGAAGUUAGCGGCGGACGGGUGAGUAACACGUGGGUAGCCUGCCCAUAAGACUGGGAUAACUCCGGGAAACCGGGGUUAAUACCGGAUAACAUUUUGAACUGCAUGGUUCGAAAUUGAAAGGCGGCUUCGGCUGUCACUUAUGGAUGGACCCGCGUCGCAUUAGCUAGUUGGUGAGGUAACGGCUCACCAAGGCAACGAUGCGUAGCCGAACUGAGAGGGUGAUCGGCCACACUGGGACUGAGACACGGCCCAGACUCCUACGGGAGGCAGCAGUAGGGAAUCUUCCGCAAUGGACGAAAGUCCGAAGCAGCAACGCCGCGUGAGUGAUGAAGGCUUUCGGGUCGUAAAGCUCUGUCGAAAGGGAAAAAAUGUUCAUGGCUAACAUCCAUGAGCUUUGAUGGUACCUUACAAGAAAGCACCGGCUAACUACGUGCCAGCCGCCGCCGUAA
RNAcentral lists this ribosomal RNA (514 nucleotides) under uncultured bacterium. Its description in RNAcentral is "partial 16S ribosomal RNA". It matches the Rfam family "Bacterial small subunit ribosomal RNA", at positions 28 to 523 of the family's 1533-position model. The record is from RNAcentral.